RNAcentral lists this transfer RNA (70 nucleotides) under Ozobranchus jantseanus. RNAcentral's name for it is "tRNA-Thr". It matches the Rfam family "tRNA". Rfam says of the family: Transfer RNA (tRNA) molecules are approximately 80 nucleotides in length. The record is from RNAcentral. Lineage: Eukaryota; Metazoa; Annelida; Clitellata; Hirudinida; Ozobranchidae.
GGGUUAGAAGCUUAUAUAGCAUUGGUCUUGUAAAUCAAAGAUAGGGUAUAAUCAAUUCACCCCUAGCCCU